AGCAAAUAAAAAUAAAAGGCAGCUUUAAAAUGCUCUGCCCAAACCCUUCAUGGCAAGGACAGGAAGCCAUCCAUUUCUUUCUCUUUGUUUCCCAGGGAUCAGCACUUACAAAGGCCUCGUGUCAUCAGGUGUUAUGAAUACCGAAACCCAUCAGAUUGAUUGUGUGUCAUUCUGUGGACAUUAGAAGUAAUUCCUGUUAGUGAGAACAAUAAACCGGUGGAACAGAAGUUGCCUCCAGAAGCUGUGGGUGCUCCAUCACUGGAGGCUUUUAAGAAGCGGUUGGACAACCACAUGUCUGGAAUGGUAGAGGGUUUCCUGCUUAAGCAAGAGCAGCUCCAAGCCUCUUACAACUCCAGAAGACCAGAACAGCCUCCUGGGUUUCCGUUAUGGAGUUGACGUCUCCAUGGGACACACAUUAACACGAAAACUGAUGAAGGGAUGUGAGUUUCUUAGAUUCUUCCACGCAGAGUGCAAGAUCCAUUUCAGAGUAGCAUGAACAGCAACGAAGACUUAGAGCUCUCUGUUUAAUCCUUAGCAGGUGGGCGUCCACAUGGACGUCACUCUCAUGCAUCAGUAGUGAACCUCAAACAUGACCCCUUCUUCGGUGAGAGAGGGAUAAUUCUUCUGCCAUGUUUAUUUUAGCCCGUGCUCCCAUUUUGAAGGGGAAACGUUCAACCGUGCUAAAUAGUUGCAAGUUAAAGGUAACAGAUGUGUGAAGUGACUUGCAUCCUUGGAAGCAAGUCUAGCUAACAGCUUCCCUUUUGUCCAGCUCUGUGGCAUGCAGAUGUUUGUGCAAUAAAAACAGCUUUAAAUUGA
Molecule: long non-coding RNA, 816 nt
Organism: Pantherophis guttatus
Lineage: Eukaryota; Metazoa; Chordata; Lepidosauria; Squamata; Colubridae
Source: RefSeq, a predicted model, not a curated record